GUAGGUGAACCUGCGGAAGGAUCAUUAUCGUGAAUCCACACGUAUUUACUUUUUGUGAAUCGUCUAAUUGUUGUUUGUUUUUUGUUUGGAUGGGAUGGAUGGUCGAUAUCAUUAUUGAUCAUUCGUUUCAAACAAACAAACACAAACACAACACAUUACAACUAUUAACCACUUGUAACCUUUUAAUUGUACUGAAACAAACAAAACUCGUUUUUGUUCUGUCUUCGGAUAGAAUAAAACAAGUUAUGAU
Molecule: unclassified non-coding RNA, 250 nt
Filed under: plant metagenome
Description: partial contains small subunit ribosomal RNA, internal transcribed spacer 1, and 5.8S ribosomal RNA
Source: RNAcentral